Molecule: ribosomal RNA, 273 nt
Filed under: uncultured bacterium
Lineage: Bacteria
Description: partial 16S ribosomal RNA
Rfam family: Bacterial small subunit ribosomal RNA
Source: RNAcentral
CCGCCGGCGACCGGCGCACGGGUGAGUAACACGUAUGCAACCUGGCCGUGACAGAUGGAUAACCGGGAGAAAUCCCGCCUAAUACGGCAUGACGCCGGGAAGGGACAUCCCUUUCCGGCCAAAGGGGGCGACUCCGGUCACGGAUGGGCAUGCGGCGCAUUAGGUAGUUGGUGGGGCAACGGCCCACCAAGCCGACGAUGCGUAGGGGUUCUGAGAGGAAGGUCCCCCACAUUGGAACUGAGACACGGUCCAAACUCCUACGGAAGGCAGCAG